UACAUACAUACAGAUUCCAAAUUUGCACUUAACUGCUAUAUUAUGUAUGUACUUGUUCAUGACACCACUUGGAAUUCAGGUAGAGGUAUUUUCAAUCAGCUCCAACAUCCCUUUCCUUCCUUGGAUGUUUCCAAGACACCAUCAAGCCAGGCACAUUUAGGCAGAGAGGUUGCUGGGGAGAAUAGAACAUUGCCAAGCUCUGGCGCCAAAUACUGCACUCUGGCAACGUGUAAGUGUAAGGCAGGCAUUGUGGGUGUGUGACCUCUGCAAUCACACAGGGCCUCAUGCUCAGGAGGGCCCUGUGCUUGAUUCAAUACUCUGCUGGCCCCAUCUUGAAAUUCUUAAUGAUUUUUGAACAAGGGGCUCCACAUGUCCAUUUAUCAGUGAGCCCCUCAAAUUAUAUAGCCAGUUUUGUGUGAGGACAAAGCAAUGGACAGAUACUAUGAAGCUCCUUUCUGGGUGGCAUUUUCUCUUUCUUUUCUCCUUCCUUUCAGAGCUACCAAGUCACCCCACACUCUAGCUCAAGAGCUCUACCUGACCAAAACUCAAUGGCCUUUCCUCAGGAAAUCCAGCUAUGCUAAUGCCACCAGAACUGAGUCAGAACUCCUAACUCUACAAAUAUGGCUCCUCUGUAUUGAGUGCCUGCUAGGUGCCAGGCACAACACUCAACUGGGACCAAUAUUAUUUCUGAUCUGGGAGAUAGAUAGGUAUGAUCAGCCCCAUUUCACAGUUGAGGACAUUGAGGCUCAGAGAGAUUCAGUGACUUGUCCAAGGUCACACAGUGCAUCAAACACAAAUCUGAUGAGCCUUCUCAAAGGCUCUUGAUGCCACCUGCUUCCAGAACAUUCUGCCACUCACUCUGCCUAGGCUGCUGCCCUGCCUGACUUGAGCUCAGGCAGUUCUGCCACUUGGGUCAGAUCGGCUACAAGUCCUGGAGUAUGGGCCCUUCCUAGCCCCAUGCCUAUAGUUUCUGGCUCCUCUUACCUCUUCCAGAUUUGGAUGAAAACACUCUCCAGCAUGGGGUGGGAACUGGUCUCCUGAGAGGCUGCCAUUAGGACUGGGUGAUACAAUCCUGAAGUGCAGAAGAGUUAACCCCCACUAGGAAAACUUUGACCAGUGGAAAAUAGGAGUUGAGAGGGAGCAGGACACAUACAUUCCUUCUUCCUCUCUCCAUGGACUGCUUCAUGACAGUCUGCCUUGCCGCUCAUCCAGCUGAAUCCCACGUGUCAUGCUGAAAGGUCUUGUGCAGUGACCUUCUGGGUGUCUCCAUGGCUGUUUGUGACAUAAUAGCCAUCAAGGAAACACACCACUUAGUGUGGCUUUGCAUCCUUCUUUGCCUCGCUUCCUUGUGUCUCACCUUUGCUGCCAUGGAUUUGCAUCUUCCAAAUGAAACAUCUCACUUUCAAUUUUUGCCCCAGGCUCUAUCUUCUAGAGAAGCUAGCCUAACAUACAUAUAGGAAGGGCAGCCUUCCCACUCAGCCCAGGGUGUGGUGGAACUUCAUUUAGGCUGCAUGUGAAAAUUGGCCACCUGCUUUGCUGUAAAUGUGAUUUGUGGUUCUCUACUGUCCAACUGCUGUAGGAAUGGCCCCCACCUGAGAGAUGCAAUGGCCAUUCCAGCUUGCUGGCCAGUACAGGCCUUCCUUCUUCUCUCUCUCCCCACUCCAUCUGCAUGACCCGACCCACCCCACCUCAAGGCAUGGUUAAUUGUUCAUUAGUGACACCUGGCCCAAGUUGACCCAAUGAAUCUCUCCCUCUGUUGGGAUUUUUAAACUCAGGACUAAGUGAUUCCAUCUCCGCUUCUUUCUACAUACUCUCUCCAAAACCACAUAUGCAGUGUCUACAGCUCUAAGUAAGAAAUCCUGGGAGUGGUCAGUGGACAUCCUUUCUGUUAUGUGGGUAAUGUCAAUCUGCAGCAUGAGAGAAGAAUUCCACCAAUAUGCAGAGAGAAACAGAGGCAGGAGCUACAGAGAAUGUCCUAAUGGCAGUCUCAGGCUUGGAGUCCUUGACAGAUUGGAAACUCCAGAUUUCUAUGACAGUAGGAUUGAAGCCUUGAAAGAUCUUAAUGUCACCAUCAUGAGCCUAAAAGAGAUCUUUGAAAAAGAUACUACAUGGAUCAUAUGUGUCUUUCACAGAGCAGAAAUUUUUAAUUUCCAGCCAUUAUAUUCCUUGACAUUCACCUCAAAGACUUGAAAAUUAUGUCCAUACAAAAACCUGUACAUGGAUAUUUAUUGCAGCUUUAUCCACAAUUGCCAGAACUUGUAAGCAACCAAGACAUCCUUCAGUAGGUGACUGUAUCCAUUGUGGUACGUUCAGGCUAUGGAAUAUUGUUCAGCACUAAAAGGAAAUGAGCUAUCAAGCCAUGAAAAACAUGGAGGAAACUCAACACAUAUUACUAAGUGAAGGAAGACAAUCUGAAAAAGCUACAAAUUGUAUGAUUCCAGCCACAUGACGCUCUGGAGAAGGCCAAACUAUGGAGACCGUAAAAAGAUCAGUGUUUCCUGGGAGUAGGAAGGCGGGAGAGAUGAAUAAGCAGAGCACAGAGGACUUUUAGGGCAGUGAAACUACUGUGUAUGAUACCAUAAUGGUGGAUACUUAUCAUUACACAUUUGCCCAAACCCAUACAAGGAACAACAGCAAGAGUGAACCUAAUGUAAACUAUGGACUUUGAGUGAUUAUGAUGUGCCAGUGUAGGUUAAUCAAUUAUAACAAAUGUGCUACUUUGGUGACAGAUAUCGAUAAUGGAGGAGGCUGUGUAUGUGUGGGGGGCAAGGGGUAUAUAGGAAAUCUCUGUUAACUUCUGCUCCAUUUUACUGUAAAUCCAAAAUUGCUCUAAAAAGAGGUCUAUUCAAAAAGGCAUUAUAUAACUCAAUUUAAUCAAUUUAAUCAAGACCAUGUUUACACAGUACUUUGUGUCCACACAUCAUGAUCAUAAGACCAAAAUCAUGUUGGAAACUGAAGAAAGAAAAUUACCUGACAGUCUUCCAAUCCAGAGGCGAAGUCCAGGUCCCAUCUCCUGGAAUUCUGAUAGGUUCCAUGCCUACUUCAACUAACACAAUGUGGACACUGCCAGUUUCCAGAGCCAGGACUUAUGAAGCUGGCAGUUUGUAUUCUCCGCUAUUUGAAAUACUGUCUCUGGGAGCAAUGGACUUCAAACUCUGAAGCCACCAUGCUAAUGUGGCUGCAUGUAGGUGUUCUAGCCAAUAGUUACAACUCAUAUGUAAGUUGCUUUGCUGGAGGGAUGGCUUGAAAGCCUGCCUGAAUUUCUGACCCACAAAGUUAUAUCAUAAUAAAAUGAUGUUAUCUUAAAAAAAAAAAAAAAAAAAAAAAAAAAAAAAA
This 3336-nucleotide long non-coding RNA is filed under the name Homo sapiens (human). RNAcentral describes it as "NAV2 antisense RNA 5 (NAV2-AS5)". The record is from RNAcentral. Lineage: Eukaryota; Metazoa; Chordata; Mammalia; Primates; Hominidae.